Molecule: long non-coding RNA, 298 nt
Organism: Sphaeramia orbicularis (orbiculate cardinalfish)
Lineage: Eukaryota; Metazoa; Chordata; Actinopteri; Kurtiformes; Apogonidae
Exons: 3
Source: RefSeq, a predicted model, not a curated record
UGUGCGAGUGUCCGUGGAUGGUUUUCACUACUGAGGGCUACGCGACGACACAAAGGACAUGUACAGCUCAUCCAGUUCCACCUUUAUCCAUGGAAAGUAAUAAACUGUUUUAAAAGAAAUGUUGCGAGACACAUUUUGUGUUUCUUACGUUGAUGUCCUCUCCUGUUUUGGCUAGCAUGAUAGUCCACACAGGAACCAUUUCAUGUGCAAUAACUGUUUGUAGACGUAAAUGAGCAGGAUGCAUGGGGCGUGGGAGUGUAAUGUAAUUUAUGUAAAAUAAAGAGCAUUGAUUCUGCGU